GACUCUUUGGCGCAGUAGGCAGCGCGUCAGUCCGGCAAACUGAAGGUUCUGUGUUUGAUCCUCGGAAGGAGCG
RNAcentral lists this transfer RNA (73 nucleotides) under Monodelphis domestica (gray short-tailed opossum). It matches the Rfam family "tRNA". Rfam says of the family: Transfer RNA (tRNA) molecules are approximately 80 nucleotides in length. Their secondary structure includes four short double-helical elements and three loops (D, anti-codon, and T loops). Lineage: Eukaryota; Metazoa; Chordata; Mammalia; Didelphimorphia; Didelphidae. The record is from Rfam by way of RNAcentral.